Molecule: ribosomal RNA, 103 nt
Filed under: Gopherus agassizii (Agassiz's desert tortoise)
Lineage: Eukaryota; Metazoa; Chordata; Testudines; Testudinidae
Source: RNAcentral
UUCUGCAGUUACGCAUGCCAUGAGAAUGUAUAAUCUAAGCAGGGUUAGGCCAAGUUAAUUCUUCGAUGGGAGACUUCAAAGGAAAAUUCAAAUGCUGCAGGAA